Anthonomus grandis grandis is the source of this 1252-nucleotide long non-coding RNA. RefSeq lists it as uncharacterized. The transcript is spliced from 3 exons. The record is from RefSeq and is a predicted model, not a curated record. Lineage: Eukaryota; Metazoa; Arthropoda; Insecta; Coleoptera; Curculionidae.
UCCAACGGUUUUGUCUUAGUUUCGUCAUUCUAAAUCCAACGAGACCAUCCGCAAGGUCGUAGCUCUUCUAAUAGCUGAGAUAUGGCAUUUUUGAUGCCCAUUUUUGGCCUCAAAAACGGACGUCGAAAACGACUUUUUCAGGAUUUUCAAAGUGCUCUCAUUCCCUUAGUUCUGCUCGGAUCCUGUUAUAACCCGGUGUUUUCGUAAUCUAGGUGACCCAAAUAAGACGCUGGUAUACUUAGUUAGAUUUCGAAAAAAAUGAAUUUUUGGUGAAAAAAAAACGAUACGGGGGGGUAUACCCGAAAAAUGAAAAAACUCAAACUUUGAAGGUCGAUAUCUCGGCUCCUAUGAGAGCGAUCGGGAAAAUUCCAACGGUUUUGUCUUAGUUUCGUCAUUCUAAAUCCAACGAGACCAUCCGCAAGGUCGUACCUCUUCUAAUAGCUGAGAUAUGGCAUUUUUGAUGCCCAUUUUUGGCCUCAAAAACGGACGUCGAAAACGACUUUUUCAGGAUUUUCAAAGUGCUCUCAUUCCCUUAGUUCUGCUCGGAUCCUGUUAUAACCCGGUGUUUUCGUAAUCUAGGUGACCCAAAUAAGACGCUGGUAUACUUAGUUAGAUUUCGAAAAAAAUGAAUUUUUGGUGAAAAAAAAACGAUACGGGGGGGUAUACCCGAAAAAUGAAAAAACUCAAACUUUGAAGGUCGAUAUCUCGGCUCCUAUGAGAGCGAUCGGGAAAAUUCCAACGGUUUUGUCUUAGUUUCGUCAUUCUAAAUCCAACGAGACCAUCCGCAAGGUCGUAGCUCUUCUAAUAGCUGAGAUAUGGCAUUUUUGAUGCCCAUUUUUGGCCUCAAAAACGGACGUCGAAAACGACUUUUUCAGGAUUUUCAAAGUGCUCUCAUUCCCUUAGUUCUGCUCGGAUCCUGUUAUAACCCGGUGUUUUCGUAAUCUAGGUGACCCAAAUAAGACGCUGGUAUACUUAGUUUGAUUUCGAAAAAAAUCAAUUUUUGGUGAAAAAAAACGAUACGGGGGGGUAUACCCGAAAAAUGAAAAAACCCAAACUUUGAAGGUCGAUAUCUCGGCUCCUAUGGGAGCUAUCGUGAAAAUUCCAACGGUUUUGUCUUAGUUUCGUCAUUCUAAAUCCAACGAGACCAUCCGCAAGGUCGUAGCUCUUCUUCUAAUAGCUGAGAUAUGGCGCUUUUGAUGCCCAUUUUUGGCCUCAAAAACGGACGUCGAAAACGACUUUUUCAAGAUUUUCA